Molecule: long non-coding RNA, 3068 nt
Organism: Cephus cinctus (wheat stem sawfly)
Lineage: Eukaryota; Metazoa; Arthropoda; Insecta; Hymenoptera; Cephidae
Exons: 3
Source: RefSeq, a predicted model, not a curated record
AAGUCCGCAGCGCUACGGCAACCGCAGGGUAGUUAGUAGUAGUGGUCCAGAGCGUUCCAUGCAGUUCCAUGGCGUCCGUUGUAAAUAGUAUAUCUCUGUACCUGAAACAAAAGAAAUAAAGCGUACGUGCGUGAAACUUACCUGAGUGCAAUAUAUUUCUCGUGAUUAGAUAAAAUAUAAACGACUUGUGUACGCGUCCACUACACAAGUUAAUUUGGUGACCCCGACGUGAUCAUCGAGGAAAUUCAAAGAUGCCACCACGUGGGCGAACAAAGGAUCCGCCGCAGAAAGGAAAGGUCCACCUAUAUUCAUAAUGAAGAAUGUGGGGUAAACUCAGCGGCCAACUUCCCGGUAGUCCAACACAGCUUUCAGGUUCUUACGACAGUGACGUACAAAAAUCCGAAGAGGAAGAGGCAACACCACGAGGCAUGGCGAGCAAUAACGAGACUCAACAAGAGGUACGCGAAUCCCCAGAUGAAGUGCAAGCCAGCGAUUACAGAGAUAUUAAGGUACCUUCAUUCUGGCGCAACAAUCCUAAACUCUGGUUCAUACAUCUGGAAAGCCAUUUUGUCUUACAUAGAAUUCGCUCAGACGAAGUAAAGUUUAGCACAGUUAUUAGCCACCUCGAUGCACAGACAAUGACAAAAAUUGAGGAUAUACUAGAUGCACCUCCUACGCAGAACAAAUAUCAGCAUGUCAAGGAAGCACUCAUCGCAAGAUGGACAGAUUCAGAAGAGCUUCAAAUGAGAAAACUCCUCACAGGCAUCGAACUGGGUAACAAGCGACCCAGACUUGCUCAGAGAAAUGAGGUCUCUUGCGGACAAGGAAGUCUCUGACAAAGCUUUACAAACUAUGUUUCUUCAACGACUCCCUGAACAUGUCCAAGAACUCUUGUUGGUUGUGGAAGGAGUAGGACUCAUCAAACUGGCAGAGGUUGCGGACAAGGCUAUGGACCGAAGAAGAGUACCACAUGUAGCCACCAUCUCCAAUUCUGACAACCACAUUUCAAGUGAUCUAGCGGCACUGGCCAAACGCAUAAGUGAACUAUCAACACGUCUAGAGUUUUCAGACAAACCUAACAAAGGUACAACCACUCAGACGGACUCGACCACAUCAACAAAACAAGAUGACAAGUGGUUAGAGUUAAAAAACAUGAUUGAAGAAAUAGCCGAGCAGCAAAGAAACUACUAUAACAAGAAUCAGCAAAAUCGCUCAGGUGAAAGAUCUCGUUCUAGUGAACGACAAAACGGAUUGUGCUACUAUCACCGACGCUUUGGUAAGGAAGCAAGAAACUGUGUUAGCCCGUGUUCCUGGAAGAAGCCACAGAACCAGGGAAACUAAACACGUCGUCAUCGGUCAAGGCGGUUCAUGACGACGAGAGCAGGAAACACCGCCUCAUAAUCACAGACGGAGAAUCUGGAAUGAGGUUUCUUGUUGACUCAGGAGCCGACGUAUCCGUUAUCCCUCGCAACUUUGCGGGUAAGCUACAGGCAGAUGCAUCCACGUCGCAGCUCUUCGCCGCAAAUGGGUCUCCUAUAGAAACAUACGGGACUGUAACGGAUUACCGACUGGGAUCCAUAAUAGUUUGUGAAAUGGCCGUCGUAUGUCAAAAUAAUCGAUUUCUUGAUCCCCUCCUAUUUACUUGUGAAAAUUAAGUCUCCAACCGUGUGUAACUCUUCCCUUUUGCCUUGAGACACUGAGGAAGAAGCACGUGUCACGUUUGGAGCACGACAGACAGUCCAUUUGCAGAGGCAAUAGGGUUGCGGUUUUAUAGUCAGUCCUGCACUCUAUCAAUAAUAAUUGAUAUUAGAAACAUUAUUAACGGCUAAUCCUGGAUAAACUACACGACAUACAUGGGUCAAUAUCAUACGGAAUACUACCAAUAAAAGACUGAAUCCUGGGCGAGCUCCAAAGGACUAAACGAGACGUACUCGAGAAGUAUUACCAAUCAAUAAGAAAACUUUGAAGAAUCUUAAUGAAUUGCGACCAUGCUUCUCACUCCCAACCUGAGAUUACGAAGGAAACUGCCUUGGGUCUUCAUCAUCGCGAAUGUGACCAGGCCCAUACUAGGCGCUGAUUUUAUACAUCACUAUGAACUGCUAAUCCACCUGCAAGGUAAAUGUCUUAGAGAUGUAAGUACCAACCUAUUUUCUGGCGGCGCAGUGACCAAGUCCAACGCUCCCACAAUACGGACCAUCACGGAUGAUACACCGUACAGCAAACCACUUAAAGUAUUUGUCGACAUCACACGACCUGUCAAGUACACGGGACUACCGAAACGUGACGUCCAACACUUCAUGAACACGAAGGGACCACCAGUAGCAGAACGUGCACGACGUCUCUCAGGAGAAAAGCUGAAAGCCGCAAAAGCAGAUUUUGAGUAUAUGUUAACUCAGGGCAUUUGUCGGCCAUCCAGCAGUCAAUGAGCCAGCCCUCUUCACCUCGCGCCUAAGAAAUCCGGCGAUUGGAGGGCCUGUGACGAUUACCGUCGUCUCAACGCACGUACCAUACCGGACAAGUAUUCCACUCCGCAUUUACAUGAUUUCACCCAAAAAUUACGUGACUGUUCCAUAUUCACUACAUUGGAUCUCACUCAAGCAUACUACCAAAUCCCGGUGGCAGAAGAGGAUCGACCAAAAACAGCAGUAAUCACUCCAUUUGGACUUUUCGAAUAUAACGUGAUGACAUUUGGACUGUGUAAUGCUGCACAAAGUUUCCAGAGAUUCAUGGAUACAGCUCUCCGUGGAUUGGACUUCUGCUUCUGUUACGUAGAUGACAUCUUAAUCGCAUCCAAGGAUGAGGCAGAACACGAGAGACACCUGCGACAAGUUUUCGAACGACUUCAGCAGUACGGACUCUCGAUCAACACCGCAAAAUGCGUUUUCGGCGCGCAAUCUGUGAAAUACCUCGGUUUCUCCAUCGACAAGGACAACGAUACGUCGGCUCCUGAAUCGACAAGAAACCUCACUCCAGAUUCUCUGUCUGUGAUUAUGAGUCGGUGUUUCCUGCUCUCGUCGUCAUGAAUCGCCUUGACCGAUGACGACGUGUUUAGUUUCCCUGGUUCUGUG